GUGCUCGCUUCAGCAGCACCUAUACUAAAAAAUUGUAACGAUGCAGAGAAGAUUGACAUGGCCCCUGCACAAGGUUGACAUGCAAAUUCGUGAAGUGUUCAAUAUUUCU
Small nuclear RNA from Perognathus longimembris pacificus (Pacific pocket mouse), 109 nucleotides. The record is from RefSeq and is a predicted model, not a curated record. Lineage: Eukaryota; Metazoa; Chordata; Mammalia; Rodentia; Heteromyidae.